UUCCGUAGGUGAACCUGCGGAAGGAUCAUUAAUAAAUGGCUCUGAUAUAGAGCACUUAAUAAUCCUACCCUUUGUGAAUUUGUUGUUUGAAAUAAUUUUUUUAAAAUUAUUGAUUGUCUUUCCCUGUUGAAUUGGUGCGUUUGGACGUAGAUUCGCAGGGAUAGUCAGUAAUUUUAAAAGACUUUUUUAAAUUAAACUUUUGUGUAUUCAUUUGUCUAAAUUAUUUUUAUAAUAAAAACAACUUUUGACAAUGGAUCUCUUGGUUCUCGCAACGAUGAAGAACGCAGCAAAAUGCGAUAAGUAGUGUGAAUUGCAGAAUACGUGAAUCAUCGAAUCUUCGAACGCAUAUUGCACUUUUUAGUUUACUAAAAAGUAUGUCUGUUUGAGUAUCAGUAAAUAUUCUCAUAAAACUUUUUGUUUUUAUGGUUAUGAGUGUUUUACAACGAUACAAGUUGUUUCACUUUAAAUUUUUUAAAAUUUGAAUUUUUUCUAAUUUAAAUAAAAUUGGAUAAAAUUUUCCCGUAAAAAGGAAUAACCUAAACAAUUUUAAUUUAUUUAGAAAAAUCAAUUAAAGGAAAAUUUAACAAAAUAACUUGAUCUCAAAUCAGAUAAGAGUACCCGCUGAACUUAAGCAUAUCAAUAAGCGGAGGAAAAGAAACUAACAAGGAUUCCCUUAGUAACGGCGAGUGAAGCGGGAAGAGCUCAAAUUUGAAAUCUUCAAGGUUUACCUUGACGAAUUGUGUUUAAAGAAGUGUUUCUGUUGAAGUUUUGGUAAAAGUUCUUUGGAAUAGGACAUCAUAGAGGUGAGAAUCCCGUAUUGACCAUUAUUUUCAGCUGUGUGAUACACUUUCAAAGAGUCGGAUUGUUGGGAAUGCAGUCCAAAAUGGUGGUAAAUUUCAUCUAAAGCUAAUAUUGGCGAGAGACCGAUAGCGAACAAGUACCGUGAGGGAAAGAUGAAAAGAACUUUGAAAAGAGAGUUAAACAGUACGUGAAAUUGUCAAAAGGAAGCGUUUGACACCAGUGUGUUUCUCGAAAAUCAAUUAAAAUGGCUGGAUUUGUGUUGUAUUGACCUUAACAGCUUUCUUCACUUUUUCCUGUCUUUUUAAUGCACUUUUCGUUUAACAAGUCAACAUCAGUUUCUUUUGUUGUAAAAGGUCAUUGGAAGGUGGCUUCUUUCGGGAAAGUGUUAUAGCCUUUGAUCUCUGCAAUCGGAGGACUGAGGUCUGCAGCGUAGACUCUUCGGGUUAGAUACAUUGUGCUAAGUUAUAGCUUUUAUAGACAACUUGUUGACUAUGUUUAGUCUUGUAGCUACUCGCUUAUGCUAUUUUACCUACGCUUAGGAUGUGAC
RNAcentral lists this unclassified non-coding RNA (1348 nucleotides) under uncultured Neocallimastigales. RNAcentral describes it as "partial contains small subunit ribosomal RNA, internal transcribed spacer 1, 5.8S ribosomal RNA, internal transcribed spacer 2, and large subunit ribosomal RNA". The stretch from base 595 to 1348 matches the Rfam family "Eukaryotic large subunit ribosomal RNA", at positions 1 to 629 of the family's 3401-position model. The record is from RNAcentral. Lineage: Eukaryota; Fungi; Neocallimastigomycota; Neocallimastigomycetes; Neocallimastigales.